RNAcentral lists this ribosomal RNA (468 nucleotides) under uncultured bacterium. Its description in RNAcentral is "partial 16S ribosomal RNA". It matches the Rfam family "Bacterial small subunit ribosomal RNA", at positions 28 to 507 of the family's 1533-position model. The record is from RNAcentral.
GACGAACGCUGGCGGCGUGCUUAACACAUGCAAGUCGAACGGAAAGGCCCUGCUUUUGUGGGGUGCUCGAGUGGCGAACGGGUGGGUAACCCGUGAGUAACCUUCCCUUGACUUUGGGAUAAAUUCAGGAAACUGGGGCUAAUACCGGAUAGGAACUCUUGCCGCCAGGUGGGGGUUGGAAAGUUUCGGCGUUUGGGGAUGGACGCGCGGGUUAUCAGCUUGUUGGUGGGGUGGUGGCUUACCAAGGGUUCGACGGGUAGCCGGCUUGCGAGCGGGAACGGCGACAAGAGGACUAAGGGACGGACCAGUAGCGAACGGGAGGCAGCAGGGGGGAGUAUGACGCAAUGGGCCGAAGUCUGAUGCAGCAACGUCGCGUGCGUAAUGACGGCUUUCGAGUGAUGAACCGCUUUGGCAUGAAACGAAGAGUGAGUGACGGUAAUGGGUAAAAAAGCACCGGCUAACUACGUG